GACGAACGCUGGCGGCGUGCUUAACACAUGCAAGUCGAACGGAAAGGCCCUGCUUUUGUGGGGUGCUCGAAUGGCGAACGGGUGAGUAACACGUGAGUAACCUGCCCUUGACUUUGGGAUAACUUCAGGAAACUGGGGCUAAUACCGUAUAGGAGCUCCUGCUGCAUGGUGGGGGUUGGAAAGUUUCGGCGGUUGGGGAUGGACUCGCGGCUUAUCAGCUUGUUGGUGGGGUAGUGGCUUACCAAGGCUUUGACGGGUAGCCGGCCUGAGAGGGUGACCGGCCACAUUGGGACUGAGAUACGGCCCAGACUCCUACGGGAGGCAGCGGUGGGGAAUAUUGCACAAUGGGCGGAAGCCUGAUGCAGCAACGCCGCGUGCGGGAUGACGGCCUUCGGGUUGUAAACAGCUUUCGCCUGUGACGAAGCGUGAGUGACGGUAAUGAGUAAAGAAGCACCGGCUAACUACGUG
Molecule: ribosomal RNA, 468 nt
Filed under: uncultured bacterium
Lineage: Bacteria
Description: partial 16S ribosomal RNA
Rfam family: Bacterial small subunit ribosomal RNA
Source: RNAcentral